Molecule: ribosomal RNA, 439 nt
Filed under: uncultured bacterium
Lineage: Bacteria
Description: partial 16S ribosomal RNA
Rfam family: Bacterial small subunit ribosomal RNA
Source: RNAcentral
CUACGGGCGGCUGCAGUGGGGAAUAUUGCACAAUGGAGGAAACUCUGAUGCAGCAACGCCGCGUGGGGGAUGACACUUUUCGGAGCGUAAACUCCUUUUAUAUAGGAAGAAGAUGACGGUACUAUAUGAAUAAGCGCCGGCUAACUCCGUGCCAGCAGCCGCGGUAAUACGGAGGGCGCAAGCGUUACUCGGAAUCACUGGGCGUAAAGAGCGUGUAGGCGGAUUAAAAAGUCAGAAGUGAAAUCCUAUAGCUUAACUAUAGAACUGCUUCUGAAACCCUUAAUCUAGAAUAUGGGAGAGGUAGAUGGAAUUUCUGGUGUAGGGGUAAAAUCCGUAGAGAUCAGAAGGAAUACCGAUUGCGAAGGCGAUCUACUAGAACAUUAUUGACGCUGAGACGCGAAAGCGUGGGGAGCAAACAGGAUUAGAUACCCUUGUAGUC